RNAcentral lists this ribosomal RNA (492 nucleotides) under uncultured bacterium. RNAcentral describes it as "partial 16S ribosomal RNA". It matches the Rfam family "Bacterial small subunit ribosomal RNA", at positions 29 to 507 of the family's 1533-position model. The record is from RNAcentral.
AGUGAACGCUGGCGGUAGGCCUAACACAUACAAGUCGAACGGCAGCACAGUAAGAGCUUGCUCUUACGGGUGGCGAGUGGCGGACGGGUGAGGAAUACAUCGGAAUCUACUUUUUCGUGGGGGAUAACGUAGGGAAACUUACGCUAAUACCGCAUACGACCUACGGGUGAAAGCAGGGGAUCUUCGGACCUUGCGCGAUUGAAUGAGCCGAUGUCGGAUUAGCUAGUUGGCGGGGUAAAGGCCCACCAAGGCGACGAUCCGUAGCUGGUUUGAGAGGAUGAUCAGCCACACUGGAACUGAGACACGGUCCAGACUCCUACGGGAGGCAGCAGUGGGGAAUAUUGGACAAUGGGCGCAAGCCUGAUCCAGCCAUACCGCGUGGGUGAAGAAGGCCUUCGGGUUGUAAAGCCCUUUUGUUGGGAAAGAAAAGCAGCAGGUUAAUACCCCGCUGUUCUGACGGUACCCAAAGAAUAAGCACCGGCUAACUUCGUG